CCCAGAAGUUCUUGCAGAAGCUCUAUGUCCCAGCUUCCAUCUGGCAACUAUAGAUCCCAAGUGUCUGUAACAUGAAAAGAUCAAGCGUCAUAACAGAAAGCCCAAUGUAAAUUGCUCUCAGAAGGGUCAUUUAUUGCCCACAUCACAGAAGAGCUUCCAUAGUGCAUUUGCCAGAGAAACUUUAGCACUUUGGAUGCCUUUGCUCAGUCCCUGGAGGUCCUUGUGGCUCAUUAAGCAAGACUACAGUAUCAGCUGCCACCCAAGAGUGGUUCCAGGAAAGUAAAAUUUCUGCCCAGUCACCUCUGCCAUCCAUUGGCUGAUGACAAGCUGGACGUGAGCCAGCAAGGCAUCCUCACAGCCCAGAAAGCCAAACGUAUUCUGGGCUGCAUAAAAAGAAGCAUGGCCAGCGAAUCAACGGAGGUGAUCCUGCCUGGAUCUACUCUGCACUGAAAUGCCCAGAGAUGCAUGUGUAGAAUCAAUGAAGAAAUGGAGACACCCCUAGCACAAAUACCAACGUCCACAAGCAAAUGUCUAUACCCUCCUUUCAAGCAUAUCUCCAUCCUUCUCCUUCCCAUGUGGGCCUUCAGUGAACUGCUCACAUCAGCUCAGCACAUUUCUUCACUACUUGUGUUUGUAGUUGCUGUUCAUCCAUGGCAAAUAAGCUCCAGAGACACAAUCCUAAUGGAUGGGCAGACCAACAAGAGAACAUGUGACAUCUACAUGAAGAACUUCUUGCACCAUGGGAUGGUAAAGAACAGGCUAUGUUUUGAAAGCAGACCUCUGACACAGGGUCUUGCGUUUCGUCUUGCUGUCACACUGUGUUACCACACCACAUCACACUGUGUGACAUAACCGACAAACCCUGUUGUAACCUGUAUGUGUCAUGGGAAGGCAGCCUGCUGCCUGAUUCUUGUAAGAGUGCUUCAGGAAAAAGGCAAUCCUACUAAUUCCCCACAGCCAGAACUGUAGCAGGAGCAAAGCUGAACAGAGCUGCUUGCUCUCUUCCUACCUAUCUAUAAUCAGCUUCAGGCAGUCAGCACUUGUCACCCUGAACAUUUCAGAAAUUCUAGAGUACAUGGUGAUAUAAAGCCACUGAAAUGGAGUAAUGUCCCAUGAAGAAAGAGGCUGUCUGUUGAAACCUACUUUUUCACAUUCAAGUAGGAGGUGGUGUGAUAGGGCACACCACAGCAGGGUCCUGACAGCAUACGUCAGUGAGGACAAAUGAACUUUUCAGUGCUGGUCCAAGGUAUUUCAGUUUUGUAUCUAGCCCUCUCUGUGCCCUGCUGUCUUCAUGGUGGUGAUACCAGUUUGGAAGUGAUACCAAGGAACUACUCAGAAUAUGAGAACUUCAACUUUUUCUUUUGUUGCGUUCCCCAGGAAUUACCGCUCGCAACAAUUUGUGGAUGUCCCCCUCAGAUUAUUUUAACUAAGAGCUCUCCUGAUUUAUUUCGUCCCCAGGGGAUUUCUAACUUAUGUGAACUAUGACUGGUGAUAAUGAAAUAUAUUGUCGUGCCACAAAUUCAAUACAUUAAAAUAAGUG
RNAcentral lists this long non-coding RNA (1540 nucleotides) under Gallus gallus (chicken). RNAcentral describes it as "lncRNA (ENSGALG00010010093.1)". The record is from RNAcentral. Lineage: Eukaryota; Metazoa; Chordata; Aves; Galliformes; Phasianidae.